GGGAGGGAAAGAGCCGUCAGGGUGCGAAAAUGAAUCAAUAAGCGAAGAAAAGAGAGGGGGGAAGGAGGAGGAGGAGAAGAAGAAGGGAAAAAAUCACAAGAAACCCCAGAAUCUCAACCGCGCCACGGAAAGUUAAUCAAUAAACUAAUUAACUGCUUGCAAGCUUUGUAAUUGUUUGAUCAGAAGAAUUAGAAUGAGGGUCUGGGGGCUGCCCACGACCCUGGGAUAAGGCCGAAUCGUAGAACUCUUUGCAUUAUUUUUAAAAGAAGAAUUGUUAUUUUAUUUUUAUCUUUUCAAUAGGAAUUUUAUUGUAUUUUUUUGCACCCGUGGGGGGAAAAGGAAAGGAAAUCUCUCUGUCCCUCUCUUUCUCGUCCCCCUACCACACUUCCUCAUCCUCUUUUUUUAAAAAGAAAAUAAUAAUAAUUGAAGGAUUUGGGAGAGAAGCGAGGCAGACGGAAAUGCCGUUCAAUUAAAGCGAGAUUGGAGGGAAAUUUUGUCUCUCAAACUGCUGCCGGCUUUUGAUCUCUUUGUUUCCACGCACACACGACGAAGACGACCAAGUCCAGCUUGGGAUUUUCUGCUCUUUUCCCCCCUUUUCUUUUUUUCUUUGUUUUGUUCCGGCGUGGUUCUCCCCCCCCCCCCGCUUCCCUCCUUUAUUUUUUCUUUAUUUUUGGUGAACAUUCUGAAUUCGAGGCUCGCUCCAGCUUGCUCCUUUUUGAACCAAUGAAGGAACCAGACGCCAUCAAACUUUUCAUUGGACAAAUCCCCCGGAAUUUAGAGGAGAAGGACCUUAAGCCUAUCUUCGAGCAGUUCGGCAAAAUCUACGAGUUGACAGUCAUUAAGGAUAAAUACACCGGCAUGCAUAAAGGAUGCGCCUUCCUGACCUACUGCGCCCGCGAGUCAGCUCUCAAGGCCCAAAGUGCUCUUCACGAGCAGAAGACGCUACCCGGGAUGAACCGACCGAUCCAGGUGAAGCCAGCGGACAGCGAAAGCAGAGGAGAAGACAGGAAGCUCUUUGUGGGAAUGUUGGGUAAGCAGCAGACAGACGAGGACGUCCGGAAAAUGUUUGAGCCAUUCGGGAACAUCGACGAGUGCACGGUACUGCGGGGUCCCGACGGCACCAGCAAAGGCUGUGCCUUUGUGAAGUUCCAGACACACGCAGAAGCACAGGCUGCCAUCAAUACGUUGCACGGAAGCCGCACGUUACCGGGCGCCUCAUCCAGCCUCGUGGUGAAAUUUGCCGACACGGAGAAGGAGAGGGGUCUCCGCCGGAUGCAGCAAGUGGCGAACCAGCUGGGCAUGUUCAGCCCCAUCGCCCUGCAGUUUGGGGUGUACAGUGCCUACACCCAAGCACUAAUGCAGCAACAGGCAGCUCUUGUUGCCACGCACUCCGCCUACCUCAACCCCAUGGCGACGAUGGCCGCCGUCCAGAUGCAGCAGAUGGCCACCAUCAACCCCAACGGCCUCAUCGCCACCCCCAUCACCCCCAUCACAACCUCCUCAGGGACCAGCACGCCACCUGCCAUUGCCGCCACGCCAGUGUCUGCCAUCCCGGCCACCCUCAGCGUCAACGGCUACAGCCCCGUUCCCACGCAGAGCACAGGGCAGCCGGCCUCCGAGGCCAUUUACACAAAUGGCGUCCACCCAUACCCAGCACAGAGCCCAGCAGCCCCCGUGGACCCAUUGCAGCAGGCGUACGCCGGGAUGCAGCACUAUACAGCCGCCUACCCUGCCGCCUACGGACUGGUCAGCCCGGCCUUCCCGCAACAGCCAGCCACCAUCAUCGCCCAGCAGCCGCCUCCACAACAGCAGCAGCAGCAGCGGGAAGGUCCCGAGGGCUGUAACAUCUUCAUCUACCACCUGCCACAGGAGUUCACAGACUCCGAGAUCUUGCAGAUGUUCCUUCCCUUCGGAAAUGUCAUCUCCGCCAAAGUCUUUGUGGACCGGGCCACCAAUCAGAGCAAAUGUUUCGGAUUCGUAAGUUUUGACAAUCCCGCCAGCGCUCAGGCUGCCAUCCAGGCCAUGAACGGUUUCCAGAUUGGGAUGAAACGCCUCAAAGUCCAGCUCAAGAGGCCUAAAGACGCUAACCGGCCCUACUGAACCGGCUGCCCAUCAGGGUGUUGCAAUCAUAUCUUGAGACGACUCUGUUGCUAAGCCAACCCCUUCGCCUGUCGCGAGAGACGUAGCUCCGCCCCCCCUUGUCUGGAGCUUACUGGAGGAACAAAGCCCCCUUGAUGUCUCCCCCUUCCCUCCUGCCCCCUUCCUCUCUUCCUCUGCUCUUCUUCCUCCUCGUAGAUAAUAGGGAAGCCACUUGCUCUCUGAGAUCGAGGGGCACCAAUUUCCUCACUGGCCGGAGACCCGGAAGAUCCCCCUUCAGCUGCGCCAACCAAGCCCCUCUCCGAAGACGGGAUGAGCGAUGAGACGGGCUCACUAUAUAUCUCUCUCUAUAUAUAUCUCCCCUUCUGCCAGCCACAGGGCUUUCCCCACUCCCCACUCCGUCCACUCCAAUCCUUGCCCCCUCCCUCCCCCCAACCCAGCCAAGAAGAACUGCAUUGUGGGAACCGAAGUCACCAAGACAUGCAGCUCAAGAAAGCCCUGCUUAGAAUAAUAAUUUAAAAAGCAAGAUUCAAGGCGGAAGGAAAUUUAGGACAAGGCAAGCUUGGACAGAAGAAACAC
Molecule: RNA transcript, 2676 nt
Organism: Podarcis raffonei (Aeolian wall lizard)
Lineage: Eukaryota; Metazoa; Chordata; Lepidosauria; Squamata; Lacertidae
Gene: CELF3
Gene name: CUGBP Elav-like family member 3
Exons: 14
Source: RefSeq, a predicted model, not a curated record